GACGAACGCUGGCGGCGUGCUUAACACAUGCAAGUCGAACGGAAAGGCCCUGCUUUUGUGGGGUGCUCGAGUGGCGAGCGGGUGAGUAACACGUGAGUAACCUGCCCUUGACUUUGGGAUAACUUCAGGAAACUGGGGCUAAUACCGGAUAGGAGCUCCUGCUGCAUGGUGGGGGUUGGAAAGUUUCGGCGGUUGGGGAUGGACUCGCGGCUUAUCAGCUUGUUGGUGGGGUAGUGGCUUACCAAGGCUUUGACGGGUAGCCGGCCUGAGAGGGUGACCGGCCACGUUGGGACUGGGAUGCGGCCCAGACUCCUACGGGAGGCAGCAGUGGGGUAGAUUGCACAAUGGGCGGAAGCCUGAUGCAGCAACGCCGCGUGCGGGAUGACGGCCUUCGGGUUGUAAACCGCUUUCGCCUGUGACGAAGCGUGAGUGACGGUAAUGGGUAAAGAAGCACCGGCUAACUACGUG
Molecule: ribosomal RNA, 468 nt
Filed under: uncultured bacterium
Lineage: Bacteria
Description: partial 16S ribosomal RNA
Rfam family: Bacterial small subunit ribosomal RNA
Source: RNAcentral